GGAGGGGGCUUCCGGUGUGGCGCACCGGACCCGCUUUAGGUGCGGUGGACCCAUGUGCCCCAUGGAGAUCGGUUCGAUUCCGGCCCCCUCCG
This 92-nucleotide transfer RNA is filed under the name Actinomycetota bacterium. Its description in RNAcentral is "tRNA-Leu". The record is from RNAcentral. Lineage: Bacteria; Bacillati; Actinomycetota.